RNAcentral lists this long non-coding RNA (339 nucleotides) under Nicotiana benthamiana. RNAcentral's name for it is "long non-coding RNA (NBEN_LNC029126)". The record is from RNAcentral. Lineage: Eukaryota; Viridiplantae; Streptophyta; Magnoliopsida; Solanales; Solanaceae.
UUUUUGAUAAUGGCAAACCUAUAUGGGAAUAUGCAUAUACUCUUAUAAAAACUAUGCCAAAUUUAAGACAAGUUAUUAUUGAGUUCCCCCUCAAUUUAUGCAAUAAGUAUUAAAAUAAAAUUGCAUAAAAAUGUAUAUAUGCAUAUACAAGUUAUCUUCCCCCUUUAUGCAUUUAAAUAAAUAAGUAUGCAUAUACCCUUAUCUUUCCUAAUGCAUGGAAAAUAAAUAUACCCUUUAUCUUCCCCAAUGCAUAUAAAAAGAUAAAUAUGCAUAUACCCUUAAUCUUCCCCCUUUUGACAUUAACAAAAAGAUAAUUUUAUUAAUGAAGAAGGAAAAUUA